UUUUCAUUUAUAUUUAUUUCUAAAUACGACUUUUCAAGAACCAAAGCCAUAACUUGAUAACAAGAUUUUCAUUAUUAAUUUUCCUUCAAGCAACCAGGAAAUUAAGCUACAACAUUGGAAGCUCGUAAGGCUUCCCUCAUACCAAAUGAACUGUCCAAAGAUAAAACUAUAAAGGAUUCCAGCACCUGAAAGUUAAAGUUGAAGGAACUGAUUUUACAACUCAACUGCUAUCAUCCACAACUUGAUUGUUUACAUAUAGAUUCUCCCUUCUUUUAGGGAAAACAGUAGAUUCCAGGGUUGGACCUCUAUAUUUUAGUUCAGAAGAUGUUCUGUAAUUAGGAUCAACAGAAGCAGGUCUAGUGUUGGUAUCAGUAGUGCCUGUACUAAAGGAGUUGGUUGCUGCUCCCCCCGGAUAUUGUGAAGGCGAAACAUAACUCCUUGAUGGACCUCUCAACCCACCAGCCCUUAAGUCCAUAAGUUCAUCUCUUCUUGAAGAAGAAUCGACAAAUGAUCUGUCCCCAGAGCUUGAUCCUAAUGGAGCACCAGUUGUGGCAGAUGUGGAAGUAAAAGGAUCAUCCGGUCCCCAUGAUGUAAGAGCUUCCUUCUUCUUAGCAAAGAAUUGCCAUGCUACAAAUAGAAAGAGUAUGAAGAACAACACAGGGCUUGUCCAUAGCAUUGUAUUGAAUUCUCCUUUAAAUACUGGAAGAUUAGAGCGAUACAUUCCCACAUACCCACUUCCAAGGCCAAGAACAACAAGUUUUUCAUGGUCACUGGCUAUUAAGGGUAUCAACCUCCUCCACCCGUUGAUUGCAUCCGCCACUUGAUAAUUUAGAAAUGAUGAUCUGAUCUCGUCCAAACCAGCAGAGAACAGAAGCCGAGGUCCACCAACCCUAACAUAGUGCUGAGUCGAGACAUUAUACACGAAAACCUUCUCUUCAUUGACAACAAGCAAAUACCCCUUAAUGGCUUGCAUUGCAAUGGGUUCAUCCAUGUCGAACUUUCUUUUAGAUCUAACCCUGCAUUUGAAGUUCAUUACAUCUCCUAACAAUAAUACAUGAAUCAAAUCACCCUCUGAUGUAAAUCCAUAUGCUUUUGACCGUUCAGUAGCAUCAAAUACAUAAUUCCGAACAAGAGUUUGAUUCAAUCCUUCACAUUCUGAUUCCCUGACUUUCAUGCUCCUUAAAUCCAAUGACCCUGCACCACUCUCUGUCAAGAACAAAAGCCUCUGCUUCAAGAAUGUAAGUGGUCUGCUUGUCGGCAUAGCAGAGCCAUGAACUGUCCCAUUUUCUCUAAAAACACGAAUCUUCCCACCAACACUCGAUGACAAGAUAUACCUUGAUCUCCCAACAUGAUGUACUUCCAAAAUAGUUAUAGCUAAGCCUUCCAAAUGAUCAUUGGGCAUAGACUUACCUACAUUUUCCAUAGAUAAUGAACCCCAUUCUUCUCCAUUCAGACCUUCACGAACUUUGUGCACCAAAACCACACCAUUCUCAUGUCCUGUCACGACAAUGCAUUCGUUCUUAUAAACUGACAAGUAUGAUAGCAUUGCAGUAACCGGCGAAUCGCAGAGUGUGUAAAAAUCAACCAAAACAUCCCCAUUCCUUGAGAACACAUAAACCCUGCCUUGAUCAUCCCCAACAGCCACAUACUUACUAAGACCCUCAAAAUCUCGAAAUGGCAAAACAUUAAUACAAGUUGCAUCCGAAUCUAAUUUCACCGCAGACACAAACUGAAACUUCUCUGACCAAAAUGGACUGUAUUUUGUAACAGAAACAGCUCUUGCUCUCUCCCCAUCUCGAGUUUUUUCCUCGAUACCCUCUUCUUGGACUUUAACAACCGAUCUUUUACCAUCAGAUUUUAUCUGAUUAAAUCUAUCUUGUUCUCGAUUCUGACUACCCUCUAAAGGUGCCACUACUUUAACCGACUCGGAUAAUUUUGUCUCUAAUCUAGCAACUACUUCACUGAGGUUCCUCACUAAUUCAUCAAGUUUGUGCAAUAAAACUUCCUGCUGGUAGGAUUGAGUUGUAGUUUCAGUCUCAGAUUCAUGAUAAGGAGAGUGGUGUUCGUCAUGAUCAAGUUGGGUAGGGGCUGAGCUAGAGUAGUUCAGCAAAAUUGAAGCCAAAAUGAAAAGCAAAUAGAGAAAAGAGAGCAACUUGCCUUGGUGGGUGUUUGCCAUUGGAGAAGCAUGGGUCAGUGUGUUGUUGUUGCCAUAUAAAUUGUACUGGCAAGCGUGAAGUUGCAGAUCUUUGGGUUUGGAUCCAAAGAUUGGAGAGAAUUUAGCCGGAAUCUAUGUUAGAUUUGAUGAAUCUCAGAGUAGAGAAUAUAGGGAUUUUGGAUCAGAAGAAAGAAGAAGCGCCUUCUUUUUCUAUUUUUGAGGUUCUUGACAUGGGCGCGUACGGUGAAUAUAUGUUAGGGCAAGAAACUCGGUUUUUCAACCAAAAC
This 2442-nucleotide unclassified non-coding RNA is filed under the name Hevea brasiliensis (rubber tree). The record is from RNAcentral. Lineage: Eukaryota; Viridiplantae; Streptophyta; Magnoliopsida; Malpighiales; Euphorbiaceae.